GCCCCUGUAGCUCAGUGGAUAGAGCGUCUGCCUCCGGAGCAGAAGGUCGCUGGUUCGAAUCCAGUCGGGGGCAC
The sequence is a transfer RNA, 74 nucleotides long. It matches the Rfam family "tRNA". Rfam says of the family: Transfer RNA (tRNA) molecules are approximately 80 nucleotides in length. Their secondary structure includes four short double-helical elements and three loops (D, anti-codon, and T loops). Further hydrogen bonds mediate the characteristic L-shaped molecular structure. tRNAs have two regions of fundamental functional importance: the anti-codon, which is responsible for specific mRNA codon recognition, and the 3' end, to which the tRNAs corresponding amino acid is attached (by aminoacyl-tRNA synthetases). tRNAs cope with the degeneracy of the genetic code in two manners: having more than one tRNA (with a specific anti-codon) for a particular amino acid; and 'wobble' base-pairing, i.e. permitting non-standard base-pairing at the 3rd anti-codon position.